GGGUUGAUCUGGUGAUAAGAGAUGAUGGGGGUAGGUUAUAUGAUCGAGCAAAGGCAAAUCUGAGCCCCCUCAAAUGCAAUUCUAGUGCUCUUUCAGCAUAAUGUGCUACACUGUUUCUCUUUUUUUAUCUGUAUUUGAAGGUGUCGCUUAUUUAUGCAACUGUGUUUAUAGCUGUCCUGUGUACAUAUUUCUUCCCUUAUACCUUUAUUGCGUAAGUUGUUCUUGCCCUUUUUUCCGUUCUUGCAUCUGUCUGCACUAUAGUACAUCAAGUAUCAACAACAACAACAACACACGGAGCCUUUGUUCCCAAACAAGUUGGGGUAGGCUAGAGGUGAAACCCAUAAGAUCUCGCAACCAACUCAUGGCUCUGGCACAUGGAUAGCAAGCUUCCACGCACCCCUGUCCAUAGCUAGCUCUUUGGUGAUACUCCAAUCCUUCAGGUCUCUCUUAACGGACUCCUUCCAUGUCAAGUAUCAGCCAAGAAAAAUUUGUACUUUGAUGCUACAUAUUCAGUUUUCAACUUAAAUGGAUUGCUGUGGCCCCCAGCAUACUAUAUUUUGUGGUUGCACACAUGCACAGCAAAAUACUCCAAAUCUGCUGUGGUCUAAUGAUGCUCUCAGUAGAUAGCAUAUUCUUGGUUGGUUCACCAGUCAUCAGAUAAUUUUGCAUGUAGGCAUUGCUAUUGAUGAUGUUCCACAAGAUUCUGGAUCCUCCUAACUGCGAAGGAUGUUUGUUUUGUUAGCUUCUUAACUUUCUUUUCCUUGCUAAGCAAGCCUUUGGGGUAAUUCUAUUUUGUUGCUGCCUUCUUUUUACAUAUAGUUUUGCAUCGCUUUGCUCUGCACUCUUCCUGGCAUGCUUAUAACAGAGACCUUUGUCCAUUAGACAUAGUAACUAUUUGAAUAAUCAAAAUUCGCUACCAUUUGGUCACCACCAGAAGUUUUUUAGUUGACAAAACAUGGUCCAGGAAGGUAUUUUGUCUGCUAUAUGUUUUUUGAAAUAGAAUUCUGAUUUGGGGCAAUGAUGAUUGACCAAUGCUGAUAUAAGCAUGCUCUUGAGCAAUCGAGUAAGCUGUGCGUAUUCAGCUGGAUCCUCCCUCGUCUCUUGGAGCCGUUUCAACCAUGACAAGAAUUAUGGAACGGAGGGAGUACUAAGAGCAACUGUUAACAGAUUUGCUAUAUUUUUGGUGGCUGUCCUUGGAAGGUCAUCUUGAUGAGUGAUAACCAGGGCAGCUCCACACUAUAAACGGGUUGAUCUGGUGACAAGAAUGAGGUAGGUUAUAUGAUUGAGCAAAGGCAAAUCUGAGCCCCCUCAAAUGCAAUUCUAGUGCUCUUUCAACAUAAUGUGCUACACUGUUUCUCUUUUUUUAUCUGUAUUUGAAGGUGUUGCUUAUUUAUGCAACUGUGUUUAUAGCUGUCCUGUGUACAUAUUUCUUCCCUCGUACCUUUAUUGCGUAAGUUGUUCUUGCCCUUUUUUUCGUUCUUACAUCUCUCUGCACUAUAGUACAUCAAGUAUCAGCCAAGAAAAAUUUGUACUUUGAUGCUACAUAUUCAGUUUUCAACUUAAAUGGAUUGCUGUGGCCCCCAGCAUACUAUAUUUUGUGGUCGCACACAUGCACAGCAAAAUACUCCAAAUCUGAUGUGGUCUAAUGAUGCUCUAUCAUGUAUUUUAAUAAGCAUGCCUUAGAGCAAGCUUCUAUAUCGCCGCCCUUCUCCACGGAAGCAUAUGUUCAAGUCACAAGCGAGUGUUGGUGGUGCUGUAAUUCGUAUGGUCAAUCAGUGCAACAUGCUCCUCAUAUACUUUUUGGAUGCAACUGAGAGUGCAUGUGCACAUUAAAUGCUGUGAAUCAAAGCUUGUGUGCCUGGUCAGUAAUUUUGAUAUGUGAGCCCUCGAUUGGCUAUGUAUAAUGUGUUGUUCUCUCGCCAUGUAUGUGUUGAGUGUUGGUUAACAAAAUGAUAAUGUUCAGUGAAAUUUUUCAAUAUCAAACAAAUUUGUUUUACAGAGUUUUUUUAGUUCUAUUGAAUUUCCCAUGAGAGUUUUGUAUACCGGUACCAUUGUGUCUCUUCAUGAAUGCGGUCCUGCUGGGCAAGCCUGAGAAGCCCUUGUACUAAUAGUUUGUGUAUCUGAGCAGUUUCUUCCUUUCAACUGCGAUGAUGUGUGCAAUUUCAUCUUGAUUGUAAAGUAGAGUUUCCUUUCUACUUGAGGUUAGAUCGAGGUCAGUAGGCAUCAGGAGGAUUACAUAGCCCAGUAUCCUCCCUUGCCACAUAAUUUUGCAAGCUAUUGGUGACCAUGAAUUUUUACGGGUUCUGUAUGCUAAACAAUGCUCUCUGUUUAAUGCAAGAUAUUUUG
RNAcentral lists this long non-coding RNA (2346 nucleotides) under Triticum aestivum (bread wheat). RNAcentral's name for it is "long non-coding RNA (TAES_LNC017001)". Lineage: Eukaryota; Viridiplantae; Streptophyta; Magnoliopsida; Poales; Poaceae. The record is from RNAcentral.